This 410-nucleotide ribosomal RNA is filed under the name uncultured Flavobacteriia bacterium. RNAcentral's name for it is "bacterial SSU rRNA". It matches the Rfam family "Bacterial small subunit ribosomal RNA", at positions 370 to 779 of the family's 1533-position model. Lineage: Bacteria; Pseudomonadati; Bacteroidota; Flavobacteriia. The record is from RNAcentral.
AAUGGAGGAAACUCUGAUCCAGCCAUGCCGCGUGCAGGAAGACGGCCUACGGGUUGUAAACUGCUUUUAUAAGGGAAGAACCUUCGGACGUGUCCGGAGCUGACGGUACCUUACGAAUAAGCACCGGCUAACUCCGUGCCAGCAGCCGCGGUAAUACGGAGGGUGCAAGCGUUAUCCGGAUUUAUUGGGUUUAAAGGGUCCGUAGGCGGGUCUUUAAGUCAGUGGUGAAAGCCUACAGCUCAACUGUAGAAUUGCCAUUGAUACUGGAGACCUUGAGUACACUUGGAGUAAGCGGAAUGUGUCAUGUAGCGGUGAAAUGCUUAGAUAUGACACAGAACACCGAUCGCGAAAGCAGCUUACUAAAUUGUCACUGACGCUGAGGGACGAAAGCGUGGGGAGCGAACAGGAUU